Phascolarctos cinereus (koala) is the source of this 251-nucleotide non-coding RNA. Lineage: Eukaryota; Metazoa; Chordata; Mammalia; Diprotodontia; Phascolarctidae. The record is from RefSeq and is a predicted model, not a curated record.
CAUUUUGCCUUUUUUGGGGAGGUGGUGCCAUCUUUGCCACUCUGAUGGGUAUCAGUGAGUACUCCCUCUAGCAACUUGGAUGAAAGACUGAAAAAGCACCCAAGGGCCUCUCUCCAGGCACUGAGCCAAACAAGUCCGAGUACAAACAAACAAGUUCACUUUACAGGACACCUCUUACCAAGGGACCUGUAAGACUGGAAUCUGAAGUCUUUAGGAGGAAAUGGAUCAAGAACAAAACAUGGAAAAAAUAA